Molecule: non-coding RNA, 121 nt
Organism: Aminobacter sp.
Lineage: Bacteria; Pseudomonadati; Pseudomonadota; Alphaproteobacteria; Hyphomicrobiales; Phyllobacteriaceae
Source: Rfam
ACCGCUCUAACGGGGUGCCUGUCGCGCGCAAGCGGGCCGGCUGAGAGGCAUGGAGAGAUCCGGCCAACCCGCUGAACCUGAUCCGGUUUGUACCGGCGGAGGGAUUAGAUGCUUCGGACGC